This is a microRNA precursor of Gossypium arboreum, 143 nucleotides long. It matches the Rfam family "MIR7502 microRNA precursor family". Lineage: Eukaryota; Viridiplantae; Streptophyta; Magnoliopsida; Malvales; Malvaceae. The record is from Rfam.
UGUUGAAAAUUUUAUCCAUUUAUAUUGUUAAAAACUAGCAGAUUGAUAGAAUAAUUAGAUAGUGACACAUGACAUGCCACGUAUACCUCAUACUGAGGUAUAGUGACCAAUUUUUAACACUAGAAAUUGAAGAAUUUUUAAUA